GACGAACGCUGGCGGCGUGCUUAACACAUGCAAGUCGAACGGAAAGGCCCCUUUGGGGGUACUCGAGUGGCGAACGGGUGAGUAACACGUGCGUAACCUGCCCUUGACUUCGGGAUAACUUCAGGAAACUGGGGCUAAUACCGGAUAGGAAUCCUUGCUGCAUGGUGGGGGUUGGAAAGCUUCGGCGGUUUUGGAUGGACUCGCGGGUUAUCAGCUUGUUGGUGGGGUAGUGGCUUACCAAGGCUUUGACUGGGAGCCGGCCUGAGGGGGCGACCGGCCACAUUGGGACUGAGAUACGGCCCAGACUCCUACGGGAGGCAGCAGUGGGGAAUAUUGCACAAUGGGCGGAAGCCUGAUGCAGCAACGCCGCGUGCGGGAUGACGGCCUUCGGGUUGUAAACCGCUUUCAGCAGGGGCGAAGCUUGUGGUGACGGUACCUGCAGAAGAAGCACCGGCUAACUACGUG
Molecule: ribosomal RNA, 465 nt
Filed under: uncultured bacterium
Lineage: Bacteria
Description: partial 16S ribosomal RNA
Rfam family: Bacterial small subunit ribosomal RNA
Source: RNAcentral